UACGGGGGGGGCAAGCGUUGUCCGGAAUCAUUGGGCGUAAAGAGCGUGUAGGCGGUUCGGUAAGUCGGCUGUGAAAGUCCAGGGCUCAACCCUGGGAUGCCGGUCGAUACUGCCGGACUAGAGUUCGGAAGAGGCGAGUGGAAUUCCCGGUGUAGCGGUGAAAUGUGCAGAUAUCGGGAGGAACACCUAUGGCGAAGGCAGCUCGCUGGGACGUUACUGACGCUGAGACGCGAAAGCGUGGGGAGCAAACAGG
RNAcentral lists this ribosomal RNA (253 nucleotides) under uncultured bacterium. Its description in RNAcentral is "partial 16S ribosomal RNA". It matches the Rfam family "Bacterial small subunit ribosomal RNA", at positions 524 to 776 of the family's 1533-position model. The record is from RNAcentral.